Molecule: microRNA precursor, 70 nt
Organism: Tursiops truncatus (common bottlenose dolphin)
Lineage: Eukaryota; Metazoa; Chordata; Mammalia; Artiodactyla; Delphinidae
Source: Ensembl
UUGCUUGGCCAAAAAGUUUGUUUGGCUUUUUCUGUAAGAUGUUACCCGAACAAACUUUUUGGCGAACCCA